CAGCCGCCGCGGUAAUACCGGCGGCCCGAGUGGCGGUCACUAUUAUUGGGCUUAAAGCGUCCGUAGCCGGGUUGGGAAGUCCUCCGGGAAAUCUGGCCGCUUAACGGUCAGAAUGCCGGAGGAUACUCCCAGCCUAGGGAGCGGGAGAGGCCGAGGGGAUUCCCGGGGUAGGGGUGAAAUCCUAUAAUCCCGGGAGGACCCCCUGUGGCGAAGGCGCUCGGCUGGAACGCGUCCGACGGUGAGGGACGAAGGCCAGGGGAGCAAACCGGAUUAGAUACCCGGGUAGUCCUGGCUGUAAACGAUGCGGACUUUGUGUCGGACAAGCUAUGAGCUUGUCCGGUGCCGGAGGGAAACCGUUAAGUCCGCCGCCUGGGGAGUACGGCCGCAAGGCUGAAACUUAAAGGAAUUGGCGGG
Molecule: ribosomal RNA, 414 nt
Filed under: uncultured microorganism
Description: bacterial SSU rRNA
Rfam family: Archaeal small subunit ribosomal RNA
Source: RNAcentral